This is a long non-coding RNA of Micropterus dolomieu (smallmouth bass), 652 nucleotides long. RefSeq lists it as uncharacterized. The record is from RefSeq and is a predicted model, not a curated record. Lineage: Eukaryota; Metazoa; Chordata; Actinopteri; Centrarchiformes; Centrarchidae. The transcript is spliced from 3 exons.
GCCAUUAGCUACUUCUUACCCUAUUAGCAGACUGUGCCAGGACUGGGACAUCACUAGCACAGGAGUUUUGAACCGCAGAGAAGAAGAGGUUUUCAGGCGUCAGGCAUGGGACCCAGUGGGGAAUUCUGCCUGAAUGUGCACCAGAAGCAGAGUCAAGCAAGCGGGCAGUGGAACUGGCCUCAGUAGCCUCCAAGACCAAUGGACUGGACUACAGUACAGAGGUGAUUUACAGCGGCUUUGACCAAAACUCCAAGGACGACGAAGACACGACAGGUUCAACUGAGGACAGGAGAGCAGUCAAGUUGUCGCAAGUUAAUUUGCUUUGGUCAGCUUCACCAUUCCAGCUGUGGCUUUCCCCCUUGGUUGACGCUCUCCCUCACCAGCCAGCAAUCAUCACUCAAGCACCUGUUCUUCAUCAUGCCGAUCAGUCUUGCCUUCAGAAGGAGAGGCCUGCCAUCCAAUCCCCUAUGGACUGUUGUGUCAUUCAUAGAACACACCUGGACCACUUCCUAAAACACCAGCCUCACCCUCUUUCCAGCCAAACCCUGUCAGCACACAUUGGACCAUUGACACAAACCAAAAACCAGCCCCACUCACCAGCCACCCGCUCUGCUUCAUUCAUUCCGUUUUCAAUAAAUAACCUUAUCUCAUU